This 419-nucleotide long non-coding RNA is filed under the name Phoenix dactylifera (date palm). Its description in RNAcentral is "long non-coding RNA (PDAC_LNC020198)". Lineage: Eukaryota; Viridiplantae; Streptophyta; Magnoliopsida; Arecales; Arecaceae. The record is from RNAcentral.
AAUCUUGGUUCUAGCAUUGCACAGUUCAUCAUUGUCCUCUCCUAAAAGUUUUUGCUCAAGACAGUCUUCACGAAAAUAUAAAGAUCCUUUGCUUCCUUCUGGAGCUGAUUUUCCCUGGCAUUCAUACAACAAAGAAAAGCUGCUUUGGCUCUCUACUCGAUCAACUUGAUUGUGCAUUUUACUCUCCAGAAACACUCUCCUCUGCUGAGUAUUUAGACAAGUUUUUCAGAUGCAACAGAAAUAGGCAUGGAAUUUUCUCCUCGAAGCUGUCAAUGGAAUUUGCACUAUCCACAUAAUUCGGACAUGGACAGCGUAAACCCAUAUGCAAAUAAUCAGAGCCAGCAGCAAAAGGAAUUAUGCCAAAGAAUGAAAAGGAAACAUAUGAUAGGAACUAGAAAAGAUGUCCAUGAAGAUGUAUA